AUACGGAGGGUGCAAGCGUUACUCGGAAUCACUGGGCGUAAAGAGAAUGUAGGCGGGUUAAUAAGUUGGAAGUGAAAUCCUAUGGCUCAACCAUAGAACUGCUUUCAAAACUGUUGACCUAGAAUAUGGGAGAGGUAGAUGGAAUUUCUGGUGUAGGGGUAAAAUCCGUAGAGAUCAGAAGGAAUACCGAUUGCGAAGGCGAUCUACUGGAACAUUAUUGACGCUGAGAUUCGAAAGCGUGGGGAGCAAACAGGAUUAGAAACCCCAGUAGUCC
RNAcentral lists this ribosomal RNA (274 nucleotides) under uncultured bacterium. Its description in RNAcentral is "partial 16S ribosomal RNA". It matches the Rfam family "Bacterial small subunit ribosomal RNA", at positions 523 to 796 of the family's 1533-position model. The record is from RNAcentral.